GACGAACGCUGGCGGCGUGCUUAACACAUGCAAGUCGAGCGGUAAGGCCCUUUCGGGGGUACACGAGCGGCGAACGGGUGAGUAACACGUGGGUGACCUGCCCUCAGCUCUGGGAUAAGCCUGGGAAACCGGGUCUAAUACCGGAUAUGACUCCAUGACGCAUGUUGUGGGGUGGAAAGCCUUGUGCGGCUGAGGAUGGGCCCGCGGCCUAUCAGCUUGUUGGUGGGGUGAUGGCCUACCAAGGCGACGACGGGUAGCCGGCCUGAGAGGGCGACCGGCCACACUGGGACUGAGACACGGCCCAGACUCCUACGGAGGCAGCAGUGGGGAAUCUUGCGCAAUGGGCGAAAAGCCUGACGCAGCGACGCCGCGUGAGGGAUGAC
Molecule: ribosomal RNA, 383 nt
Filed under: uncultured bacterium
Lineage: Bacteria
Description: bacterial SSU rRNA
Rfam family: Bacterial small subunit ribosomal RNA
Source: RNAcentral